UAAAUGUGGACCGAAAGCCCUGUCCCUUC
This 29-nucleotide non-coding RNA is filed under the name Rattus norvegicus (Norway rat). Lineage: Eukaryota; Metazoa; Chordata; Mammalia; Rodentia; Muridae. The record is from RNAcentral.